This 433-nucleotide ribosomal RNA is filed under the name uncultured bacterium. RNAcentral's name for it is "partial 16S ribosomal RNA". It matches the Rfam family "Bacterial small subunit ribosomal RNA", at positions 29 to 507 of the family's 1533-position model. The record is from RNAcentral.
AACGAACGCUGGCGGCAUGCCUAACACAUGCAAGUCGAACGAGACCUUCGGGUCUAGUGGCGCACGGGUGCGUAACGCGUGGGAACCUGCCCUUAGGUUCGGAAUAACUCCCCGAAAGGGGUGCUAAUACCGGAUAAUGUCUUCGGACCAAGGAUUUAUCGCCUUUGGAUGGGCCCGCGUUGGAUUAGCUAGUUGGUAGGGUAAAAGCCUACCACGGCGACGAUCCAUAGCUGGUCUGAGAGGAUGAUCAGCCACACUGGGACUGAGACACGGCCCAGAAUCCUACGGGAGGCAGCAGUGGGGAAUAUUGGACAAUGGGGGAAAGCCUGAUCCAGCAAUGACGCGUGAGUGAUGAAGGCAGUAGGGUUGUAAAGCGCUUUUAACCGGGAUGAUAAUGACAGUACCGGGAGAAUAAGCUCCGGCUAACUCCGUG